AAUUUGGAGGAGCCGGCAACGGUGGCAGUGCUUCAUUUUCAUGCCGACAAUGGAAGUAUGGAGCAUGCAAGAAAUAUCGGAUCGGCAUACUCCAUCAACCUGUAGAUGAGAAGAGAAGUACUUAGGGGACGAUGUCGAUCUUACACAUUCAGCUUUGUGUAUGUAUAGUCUCAGUCUCAUCAUAUUUAAUUUAUUUAUAGCAGUUGCAUAAAGAAAUAUAGCCCCUUGGAAUCUAAAUUAGCAAUUGUAAA
Hordeum vulgare subsp. vulgare (domesticated barley) is the source of this 251-nucleotide long non-coding RNA. RefSeq lists it as uncharacterized. The transcript is spliced from 3 exons. The record is from RefSeq and is a predicted model, not a curated record. Lineage: Eukaryota; Viridiplantae; Streptophyta; Magnoliopsida; Poales; Poaceae.